AAUAUUUAUUUACAAUACUUCAUUCUGAGGCUCAUAAAUAGCUCAAUUAAGCUUUACAAUAAAUAUUUGACUAACCGGGUAUCUUGUGGUCGAUCAUGAUGCGAUUGUGGCUUUGUUUUUUACUUGUUAGAGACGUCUGUUCAAAUAGAUUGAUUUAUUGUUUUUUGAUUUGCGUUUUCUACAAGAUAGAACAAAGAGACAAAAAGAGAGAGAGAGAUAGAUAGAGAGAGAGCAAGGGAUCGUGCUGAGUUGGGAACUUUCGCAAGUAGCGCGAAAGUUGUUUUUAAAAUUGCCAGCCACAUGUAAAUUCCCCCAGACAAGAAACGACACAGUUUCUGGAUUUGCCACCACAACAACAGGCACAUAUAUAAUAUAAUUCAUACUACGAGUUUAUAUAUGUUAUGCAUUUGGCAUGCCUUAUAGACGCGACUUACAAAUACAGCGCUGCACAGCUCACGUUUCAUUUGAAUAUCAAACGCAAUAAGAAAAUGAAAAAAAUUCAAAUGCAAAUUUGCAAUACGUCGACUUGGGGCUGAAACUUGUGACCCGUCUCUGGGGCGAGCAGCAGCAUUUAUUGUUAUUCAUCCAAUAUGAUUGAGCUGACCAAACGACACCACACCACACCACACCAAAGCUAAUACAAAACAAACGGAGAGUGCAAGUAAAAGUGAGCGUGCGCUAAGCGGCGUAUACUUGAUAUGCAUUGCAACCAAAAAGAAAUGCGCAAUAGCGCAAUGAUAAAUACUCAAGUGGCUUAAGCGUACACUUAAUUUUGCCAAACAAGCGCAGCUAUGUAAAGUGUUCUAAUAAUUGAAAACGAAAACUGUUGAUAAACUAUACGACUUGGAGAAAACGUUACGUAUACGUAAUAUUUUACACAAAAGCCUCAAGCUAGGGAUACAUUUUGUUUUUUCUUUAAAUUUUACUUUUAUUAUUUAGGAAAACGUUAUUCAAACGUAUUGAGAUUGAAUAUAUAACAGUUGCUUUGCCAACACUGCGUAUAUUUAAUAUUUGUGACAACGAUUUUUAUUAAACUUUAAUUUAUAAUGUCGAAUUAGAAAUGAAUUAAAGUCAUUCCAGAAACGCGCAACUCGUGCGAAACAAGAAGAGGCAAUCUGAAGACGCGCAAAAAUUGUCAUAAAGCUUUAUCAGAUAUUUGCGUGUUGUUAAAAAGAUGAACGAAAAGACCCCCUUAAUAAACUAUAUACCUAAUGUCAAGUAAUCCACAAGAAUAUCCCAUCUAUCAUAUAAUACCAUCGUACAUACGUACUAUAUAUAAUCCUCAGCUGGGCCACUUGCGUCAAUGGGGAAGGAGGGCGUUAGGGGGGCGUGAAAACUACAAGUAAUUUAUCAGAAAAUACUUUGACAAUUUGUUAUUUUGUUGUUUUCAUUUUCCUUCUUAUACAUAUUCUUUUUAGUGUGAUGAUCUUGAGUUAAUUUAGCGGCAAUUUAGCAAAUAUGCUUUGUGUGUUGUUUCGCAUUUGGUUUUUGUUUUUGUUUGGCCUGUGGAACCGAAAAAAAAGACGCACAAAACGUAUUAUAAAUAAAUAUCUAAAUUUAAAGAGCACUAUCGCUAUUUUGCUCGAGCAUCUUUCAGUUUUCUUUUGCUCAGCUCAGCCAGCAUAAAUAUGAAAACAAAAUACGCAAUUAGCGUAGAAACGUCGCGAGAAGAACGCGGCGAAUUGAGUGUAGAAAUUUUGCGAUAGACGAAGGGCGACAAAGCGACAGACACGCCCACUUGCCGGAGUAAGAGGGCGUUUAGUAAACUACAUAUGUAGCUAAAUAUUGCAUAUUUUUGAUAUUCAAAUCGAUCUAAUGUUGAUGAUGUUGUUGAUCAACCAAUUUAUUUGCUGCGUGAUUAUUCUAAUUAGUUUUGCUUGUGACCGAAUGUCUGGCAACGCUGCGGCAAACGACAAUAACAGCUGGCAGCAUGCAAAUUUUUGCUAUUGGCAGCCAUGUCCGCUUUCGCUCUCUCGUUCGUUCUCUCACUCUUCUCUCCUUGGACGGGGUCGCUCUCUUGCACUGUUUAUCUUCACUUCGACGCUGGGGUUAUGCAAAUGCUAAAUGCAAUUUCGAAAGUGUGAAAACGUAAACGAAUCAUGUGAGUGUCAGCUGCAGUCACAGCAAAUGCAAAAACAAAGACAAUGGCAAAAGCAAAGGCAAUGACAAGAACAACAUCUCAAGUGAUCGAAUGGAAAAAAAAAUGUGUGCAGUCAGCGCAACUGGCGCAAUUUGCUUUUGUUGUCUAUUUCCCAACCACGCGACGGAUGCAGACAACGCAAAUUGCAAUCACAACAAAUAUCAGCAACAAGCCAAAACUAAUUGCGAACUAUUAAUCCGUCCAAACAAAAAUGUCGCCGAAAUAGUGAGAUAUCAACAGUAGAUUAAGAAGAGUGGAAGAGAGAGAGAGAGACGCAGACGCAAGGGCAUUGCAAAAUACCCAGUAGUGAAUUUGCAUUGCGGACUAGUUUAUUGUGCGGAAUUGCAAUUUGCCAUUCACAUUGCGAACCAGUUCAAUAUGCUGAACUGCUGUUGUAACAGACUUUACUGACAUCAUAAUCCCCAUAUAAAAUAUAUCGAGCGUAUCAGCACUUAAUGUCGGGCUGGACUAUUCAAAAAUAUGUGUAGUAAGUAAUGCACACACAUUACUAAUAGGCGCGUUGUGCACCAAUUGAUAUUAUCGAUAAGGAAUCUUAUCGCCAUAUUUUGCAGUAGCACUUCUAUUAGCAAUCAAAUUAAAUAGAUAAAAUAUACAUAUUGAAAAGGCAUUUGCUAUUUGUUUUUUUGUAAUAGACUUAACUGCGCAAAAAAGAUAAACUAAACACAAAACGAAAUGCUUAAGUUUGGAGUGAGUGAAGAAUGAUCAUUAGGACAAAGCAAAAAUAGUUAUAAUCGGUGCAUGACGGGCCAAAAAACAAAGCAGACAGCUAAAAAAAAGGUAAGCGCUACUAAUUAGAGAUAAACAAUCAUGCGGACUGUCGGCAGCCACAAUUAGGCGCG
This is a long non-coding RNA of Drosophila sulfurigaster albostrigata, 3000 nucleotides long. RefSeq lists it as uncharacterized. Lineage: Eukaryota; Metazoa; Arthropoda; Insecta; Diptera; Drosophilidae. The transcript is spliced from 2 exons. The record is from RefSeq and is a predicted model, not a curated record.